AAGAGGACUGAUAGAUUUGGGUUUGGUUUGGAGAGUAAACGAUUGCAGAAACCUCCAGCCUCCAUCAAGGUCAACAUCUGCUUUUAGCCGAUAACAAGCUUAGACAUGAAAGUCAACAUCAUGAAAGGCUUGCUCCGAAAGGACCGAAACUCAAGUUUUGGGAGAAAUCUGAAAAAAGAAGGUUGUACUCAUAGCUGAAACAGAGCAGACCCCGUAUCAUGA
This is a long non-coding RNA of Rosa chinensis, 222 nucleotides long. RefSeq lists it as uncharacterized. The record is from RefSeq and is a predicted model, not a curated record. The transcript has 4 exons. NCBI's taxonomy places the organism in Eukaryota, Viridiplantae, Streptophyta, Magnoliopsida, Rosales, Rosaceae.